RNAcentral lists this ribosomal RNA (329 nucleotides) under uncultured eukaryote. RNAcentral's name for it is "partial 18S ribosomal RNA". It matches the Rfam family "Eukaryotic small subunit ribosomal RNA", at positions 1470 to 1796 of the family's 1831-position model. The record is from RNAcentral.
CCCUUAGAUGUUCUGGGCCGCACGCGCGCUACACUGAUGCAUCCAACGAGUCUAAAACCUGCUCUGAUAGGGGUGGGUAAUCUUUUGAAUGUGCAUCGUGAUUGGGAUAGAUGAUUGCAAUUUUUCAUCUUCAACGAGGAAUGCCUAGUAAACGCAAGUCAUCAGCUUGCAUUGAUUACGUCCCUGCCCUUUGUACACACCGCCCGUCGCUCCUACCGAUUGAAUGAUCCGAUGAAUAUCAUGGAUUGAGGAUUAUAGCAGGUUCGCCUGUCUUGAUCUUCGAGAAGUGAAGUAAAUCUUAUCAUUUAGAGGAAGGAGAAGUCGUAACA